UACGUAGGGGCAAGCGUUGUCCGGAAUCAUUGGCGUAAGCGCACGUAGGCGGACUGUUAGUCGGGGUGAAAUCCUGGGCUCAACCUCAGAAUUGCCUCCGAUACUGGCAGUCUCGAGUGCGGGAGAGGUGAGUGGAAUUCCCAGUGUAGAGGUGAAAUUCGUAGAUAUUGGGAAGAACACCAGUGGCGAAGGCGGCUCACUGGCCCGUAACUGACGCUGAGGUGCGAAGCGUGGG
This 235-nucleotide ribosomal RNA is filed under the name uncultured bacterium. RNAcentral describes it as "partial 16S ribosomal RNA". It matches the Rfam family "Bacterial small subunit ribosomal RNA", at positions 524 to 765 of the family's 1533-position model. The record is from RNAcentral.